Ooceraea biroi (clonal raider ant) is the source of this 1383-nucleotide long non-coding RNA. RefSeq lists it as uncharacterized. Lineage: Eukaryota; Metazoa; Arthropoda; Insecta; Hymenoptera; Formicidae. The record is from RefSeq and is a predicted model, not a curated record.
AUGAAGACACCCACCAGCACCAUAGCGAUCAGCACGCCGCAUAUCAUAUAGACACUGUCAGUAGGUGGAUCUGCAACAGAGAGACUUGUUGUACGAACCAUUUCAUCGCGACUGGAAUCUAGAUUAAUCAACAGAUAUUGAUCAGAUCGAGGGAGAAAAUUGGGAGCAAAGCAGCUCCGGCAAACUCGUUUGGUCAAGGAGGAUGGUCUUCCGGCGAAGGCCGAACCACAUUUUUCCUCGGCUUUUCCCGCCGCGAAAGAAGAAGAACCCGUCGUCCUUUCAAGUUCAACGCCACCUUCGGACCCGGCUUCGAGCACAAGGAACUGCGUGGAAAGGGUGUUUGCUUUGCUGCGAGGCUUUUACAUAACACGAUUCUUUCUGAGUAAAAAUGUAAUUUUAGUACUAAAAAAAUUGUUUUGCAAUCUUGAGGAGAGGUAACAGGUAAGACAGAUAAGACAAUGUUAACCUUAUUCUGUAGGAUAACUCCUAUACCACGUUUCCACACAAGAUAGCAAUAGAGUAAAAUGAGUUCAGCGAGCAAACAAACCAGGCUAUUCAAUGGAUAACUGCGUAAUUUUGUGGACACCUUGUGUACAUGAUUGGAAACGUGUGUUUCGUGAAUCAGCGCAAUAUCCUAACGGUCUGCGUCUCGUUUGCAGAUAGUUUGGAAACUAUCCAGUUUAACGCGUACGAUGGGAUUGUCGCAAACAACCCACAGGUUGCUGUCAGCUGACGCCGUUGGCAGACGCCGAGCUUCUCUUUUUCGGUCUCGCCGCGUAUAAUCGUCGGAACAUUUCAGGAAAUUCAAACAGCUUUAUCGCGAAGACUUUGAGGACUUUCCGUCAGCUUUUGCACGUCAAAUCGUCAAAACAUGUCAGGACGGUUGAUAGAUUCUCGAGAGCAACGCCGUUGAAACAUUUCGGAGAACCUAUGAAACGUCUUCACAAAAAUCUAUGUUUAAAAGACGCUUGAUUUCAGCGAAUAAAACCGUCGUCACAUUUCAACGAAUGCAAAUAAGUCGCAGGGAAUUAACUUUGAGGACACUUGAUUGACUUUACAAAUCACAAAAUCAGGAUUAUUAGCGGUUAUCAACUGAAGGAAAAAUUGCAAACAUUGAAACGCGAAACGUGAUAAAUGGCAAACAUAUAAGGACAACUAUUAUAAGUAUUAAAUAUAUUAAUAAUUAUAUAGAAUGUUUCCCUUUUCUAUUUAAACCUGUUUGAGCUUCUAAAUAGAAAGAAAAUUAGCAUUCUUAAAUAUGGUAAUUAAUACAUGCAAUUAAUAUUUCGAUAAAUAUAUUAUUAUAGAUCUAUUUCAUCUUUAAUCCUAACCAUGAUGAAAAAUUAAUUUGAGGUUCAAACAUCUUGUUAAAUAUUUUCCAAA